This 1105-nucleotide long non-coding RNA is filed under the name Citrus sinensis (sweet orange). Its description in RNAcentral is "long non-coding RNA (CSIN_LNC003294)". The record is from RNAcentral. Lineage: Eukaryota; Viridiplantae; Streptophyta; Magnoliopsida; Sapindales; Rutaceae.
UUUGUAUUGAAAGAUAUAUAAGCUAUAAUUAAAAUAAAUAAAUAAAUAAAUCCAGCGACCUAAAUCGAAAAUCUCGUAAUACAUGAUUCAUGAUUAUGUAAUAAUACAAAAAGUCAUGUCAUAUACGACUGAGGGUUGUGUAUUACAUGUGUGUAUUACGCAGCCUUGAAUCAUGUGUUACAUGAGCUUACACAACCGAAUUAUAAUCGGAACAAUCCAUCAAUUUUUCACCAUUUACAUGGAGCAAACAACUAGAAAUUUGUAUAUUAUGAGAGACCCACAACUAAUUUAAUCUAUUUUUACUAUAUAAGAUCCUAUUUUUUUUAAUUUUUCUUUAAAUAUAAAAAAGAAAGUUAAUUAUAAGGAAUUACUUUCCUAAAAUAGUUAGAUUCCAGCAAUUUUGUUAAAAAUAAUCGAUUUUCACCGGCGAUUGUGCAGUGACAAACUAGUCUUCUCUUUCUCAAUUGCAAUAGCUUCCUCUUCUCAAGCUUGGUUUGCUCAUAUGUUGAUGUCUAGUUCAACAUGUACGAGUAUUUGUUUGAGCCAUGUUAUGUUUGAGUUGUGUAAAUAUUUUAAGAUAAGGAUAGUUUAGUAAUUUUGAUAAAUUUUAUUUUUAAGAUAUUGAGAUAAUUUUGAAAGUAAUAAGGUACAUCUGCUGCAAUUAAGGAUAGCAAAAAAAUCCGAGUCCGGCUCGGAUCCAUAAAAAUCUAAAAAAUUUGAAUCCGGAAAAAUCUGGAUCCACACUUUAAAAAAUGUGGAUCCAGAGUUUAAGAAUUAUAAUUAAGAAUUAUAAUUCGUGCGGAUCCGGAUCCGGAUCCGGAUCCGGAUCCAAGUGUAUCCAGAAAACCGGAUAUCCAGAUUCGGAUUAAUUUUAAUUAUAAUAUUAAUUUAAUAUAAUUUGUAUUGAAAGAUAUAUAAGCUAUAAUUAAAAUAAAUAAAUAAAUAAAUCCAGCGACCUAAAUCGAAAAGCGCAGACGGCAACAGCAUCACUCACUCACCAAACCGUUCGCGCCUCACACGUCCACCACUCACAAGCGCUUGAAAUCGAAAACCACCCUAAAUCCCUAACCCUUGAACGCCGUCCGGCUUGCAGUCGCUGUCAUCG